Molecule: ribosomal RNA, 468 nt
Filed under: uncultured bacterium
Lineage: Bacteria
Description: partial 16S ribosomal RNA
Rfam family: Bacterial small subunit ribosomal RNA
Source: RNAcentral
GACGAACGCUGGCGGCGUGCUUAACACAUGCAAGUCGAACGGAAAGGCCCUGCUUUUGUGGGGUGCUCGAGUGGCGAACGGGUGAGUAACACGUGAGUAACCUGCCCUUGACUUUGGGAUAACUUCAGGAAACUGGGGCUAAUACCGGAUAGGAGCUCCUGCUGCAUGGUGGGGGUUGGAAAGUUUCGGCGGUUGGGGAUGGACUCGCGGCUUAUCAGCUUGUUGGUGGGGUAGUGGCUUACCAAGGCUUUGACGGGUAGCCGGCCUGAGAGGGUGACCGGCCACAUUGGGACUGAGAUACGGCUCAGACUCCUACGGGAGGCAGCAGUGGGGAAUAUUGCACAAUGGGCGGAAGCCUGAUGCAGCAACGCCGCGUGCGGGAUGACGGCCUUCGGGUUGUAAACCGCUUUCGCCUGUGAUGAAGCGUGAGUGACGGUAAUGGGUAAAGAAGCACCGGCUAACUACGUG